This 448-nucleotide long non-coding RNA is filed under the name Coturnix japonica (Japanese quail). RNAcentral describes it as "lncRNA (ENSCJPG00005011987.1)". The record is from RNAcentral. Lineage: Eukaryota; Metazoa; Chordata; Aves; Galliformes; Phasianidae.
AAGAGUUUAUAAAAUCUACACAAAAUAACAUAUUGAAAUCUAUUCACCUUUUUGUAAUUUUUUGCCUAGGGCCAGGUUGGAAAUGCAGGACUGGUCCCCUGCAGCAAAGUUUUAGCUACAGGUCCAGAAAUAAUCACUUCCGAGGCUCUGCUUCUCCCCAGAUGCUGAAUGCCAUUACUUUGGACUUAAACAUCAGAAUUCUUUAUAACAAAUAAGGAUCCAGACUGACAGUGUAGUUCAGUUGACAGAACAGAGGGAUGAUUCACGCUCUAGGUGUUGUGGAUGGCUUGACCACAGAGGGAUCAGUUCAAUCCUGAGAAGGCUAUGUGACGCUGUCGCAUUAAAAUGCAGAUUUAAAGAAUUUCCUUCACUACCCACUGGGAAUACUGUACAGGUGGUGAGGAGCUGCCAUGAUGAGGAUAUUUCCCUGCUUCAGCUACACGAGUGA